RNAcentral lists this non-coding RNA (175 nucleotides) under human gut metagenome. RNAcentral describes it as "Lysine riboswitch". It matches the Rfam family "Lysine riboswitch aptamer". Rfam says of the family: Riboswitches are metabolite binding domains within certain messenger RNAs that serve as precision sensors for their corresponding targets. Allosteric rearrangement of mRNA structure is mediated by ligand binding, and this results in modulation of gene expression. This family includes riboswitches that sense lysine in a number of genes involved in lysine metabolism, including lysC. The record is from RNAcentral.
GUUGAUAGAGGUGCACUUUUUAUCAGUAGCCCGAGGGAGAACGCGAAUUUUUCUGUGAAUUCGGGUCGAAAGGAAAAAGUGCCGAAAAAGCGGUUUGUUCGCAGGACCGUUUUUGGGUGUAUGGCGAACAGCCAUGCAACUGUCACCGUGUGAUUACGCGGUGGAGUGCUAUCUG